RNAcentral lists this ribosomal RNA (481 nucleotides) under uncultured bacterium. RNAcentral describes it as "bacterial SSU rRNA". It matches the Rfam family "Bacterial small subunit ribosomal RNA", at positions 417 to 917 of the family's 1533-position model. The record is from RNAcentral.
UUCGGGUCGUAAAGCUCUUUCCUCAAGGAAGAUAAUGACGGUACUUGAGGAGGAAGCCCCGGCUAACUACGUGCCAGCAGCCGCGGUAAUACGUAGGGGGCUAGCGUUAUCCGGAAUUACUGGGCGUAAAGGGUGCGUAGGUGGUUUCUUAAGUCAGAGGUGAAAGGCUACGGCUCAACCGUAGUAAGCCUUUGAAACUGGGAAACUUGAGUGCAGGAGAGGAGAGUGGAAUUCCUAGUGUAGCGGUGAAAUGCGUAGAUAUUAGGAGGAACACCAGUUGCGAAGGCGGCUCACUGGACUGUAACUGACACUGAGGCACGAAAGCGUGGGGAGCAAACAGGAUUAGAUACCCUGGUAGUCCACGCUGUAAACGAUGAGUACUAGCUGUCGGAGGUUACCCCCUUCGGUGGCGCAGCUAACGCAUUAAGUACUCCGCCUGGGAAGUACGCUCGCAAGAGUGAAACUCAAAUGAAUUGACGGA